GACUGAGCUGAUGCCAAGCUGUGCCC
RNAcentral lists this non-coding RNA (26 nucleotides) under Homo sapiens (human). The record is from RNAcentral. Lineage: Eukaryota; Metazoa; Chordata; Mammalia; Primates; Hominidae.